AGUGAACGCUGGCGGUAGGCCUAACACAUGCAAGUCGAACGGCAGCACAGUAAGAGCUUGCUCUUACGGGUGGCGAGUGGCGGACGGGUGAGGAAUACAUCGGAAUCUACUUUUUCGUGGGGGAUAACGUAGGGAAACUUACGCUAAUACCGCAUACGACCUACGGGUGAAAGCAGGGGAUCUUCAGACCUUGCGCGAUUGAAUGAGCCGAUGUCGGAUUAGCUAGUUGGCGGGGUAAGGGCCCACCAAGGCGACGAUCCGUAGCUGGUCUGAGAGGAUGAUCAGCCACACUGGAACUGAGACACGGUCCAGACUCCUACGGGAGGCAGCAGUGGGGAAUAUUGGACAAUGGGCGCAAGCCUGAUCCAGCCAUACCGCGUGGGUGAAGAAGGCCUUCGGGUUGUAAAGCCCUUUUGUUGGGAAAGAAAAGCAGCAGGUUAAUACCCCGCUGUUCUGACGGUACCCAAAGAAUAAGCACCGGCUAACUUCGUG
This 492-nucleotide ribosomal RNA is filed under the name uncultured bacterium. Its description in RNAcentral is "partial 16S ribosomal RNA". It matches the Rfam family "Bacterial small subunit ribosomal RNA", at positions 29 to 507 of the family's 1533-position model. The record is from RNAcentral.